GAUGAACGCUGGCGGCGUGCUUAACACAUGCAAGUCGAACGGAAAGGCCCAAGCUUGCUUGGGUACUCGAGUGGCGAACGGGUGAGUAACACGUGGGUGAUCUGCCCUGCACUUCGGGAUAAGCCUGGGAAACUGGGUCUAAUACCGGAUAGGACGAUGGUUUGGAUGCCAUUGUGGAAAGUUUUUUCGGUGUGGGAUGAGCUCGCGGCCUAUCAGCUUGUUGGUGGGGUAAUGGCCUACCAAGGCGUCGACGGGUAGCCGGCCUGAGAGGGUGUACGGCCACAUUGGGACUGAGAUACGGCCCAGACCCCUACGGGAGGCAGCAGUGGGGAAUAUUGCACAAUGGGCGCAGGCCUGAUGCAGCGACGCCGCGUGGGGGAUGACGGCCUUCGGGUUGUAAACUCCUUUCGCUAGGGACGAAGCGUUUUUGUGACGGUACCUGGAGAAGAAGCACCGGCUAACUACGUG
Molecule: ribosomal RNA, 468 nt
Filed under: uncultured bacterium
Lineage: Bacteria
Description: partial 16S ribosomal RNA
Rfam family: Bacterial small subunit ribosomal RNA
Source: RNAcentral